UCCGUCUUAAAACUUCAAAGACGCUUGAUGGAGUUCGCUGACCGGAGUUGUUGCUUUCGGCGGUUGCUGCUGCCUCCAAAAGAAGAGAGAAGAGGAGGGAGACGAGAAGAGGGGCGAGAGGGAGAAGAUAGGGGGCGGGAGACGGAGAGGGGAAGAGGGGCGGCUGCCACCACUUGGAGGUGGUGAUUAACCACCGGAAAGAAUGGAGGGAGAG
This 214-nucleotide unclassified non-coding RNA is filed under the name Hevea brasiliensis (rubber tree). The record is from RNAcentral. Lineage: Eukaryota; Viridiplantae; Streptophyta; Magnoliopsida; Malpighiales; Euphorbiaceae.